This 76-nucleotide transfer RNA is filed under the name Peptostreptococcus sp. RNAcentral describes it as "tRNA-Phe". It matches the Rfam family "tRNA". From Rfam's summary of the family: Transfer RNA (tRNA) molecules are approximately 80 nucleotides in length. Their secondary structure includes four short double-helical elements and three loops (D, anti-codon, and T loops). Further hydrogen bonds mediate the characteristic L-shaped molecular structure. tRNAs have two regions of fundamental functional importance: the anti-codon, which is responsible for specific mRNA codon recognition, and the 3' end, to which the tRNAs corresponding amino acid is attached (by aminoacyl-tRNA synthetases). tRNAs cope with the degeneracy of the genetic code in two manners: having more than one tRNA (with a specific anti-codon) for a particular amino acid; and 'wobble' base-pairing, i.e. permitting non-standard base-pairing at the 3rd anti-codon position. RNAcentral also lists the same sequence under 5 other names. The record is from RNAcentral. Lineage: Bacteria; Bacillati; Bacillota; Clostridia; Peptostreptococcales; Peptostreptococcaceae.
GCCUAGAUAGCUCAGUCGGUAGAGCAGGGGACUGAAAAUCCCCGUGUCGGUGGUUCGAUUCCGCCUCUGGGCACCA